CGGACGGGUGAGUAACACGUGGAUAACCUACCUAUAAGACUGGGAUAACUUCGGGAAACCGGAGCUAAUACCGGAUAAUAUAUUGAACCGCAUGGUUCAAUAGUGAAAGACGGUUUUGCUGUCACUUAUAGAUGGAUCCGCGCUGCAUUAGCUAGUUGGUAAGGUAACGGCUUACCAAGGCAACGAUGCGUAGCCGACCUGAGAGGGUGAUCGGCCACACUGGAACUGAGACACGGUCCAGACUCCUACGGUAGGCAGCAGGC
This 263-nucleotide ribosomal RNA is filed under the name uncultured Staphylococcus sp. RNAcentral describes it as "partial 16S ribosomal RNA". It matches the Rfam family "Bacterial small subunit ribosomal RNA", at positions 99 to 354 of the family's 1533-position model. Lineage: Bacteria; Bacillati; Bacillota; Bacilli; Caryophanales; Staphylococcaceae. The record is from RNAcentral.